This 523-nucleotide ribosomal RNA is filed under the name Wickerhamomyces sp. RNAcentral describes it as "partial large subunit ribosomal RNA". It matches the Rfam family "Eukaryotic large subunit ribosomal RNA", at positions 121 to 657 of the family's 3401-position model. The record is from RNAcentral. Lineage: Eukaryota; Fungi; Ascomycota; Saccharomycetes; Phaffomycetales; Wickerhamomycetaceae.
UCUAGCACCUUCGGUGUUCGAGUUGUAAUUUGAAGAUGGUAACCUUGGGUUUGGCUCUUGUCUAUGUUCCUUGGAACAGGACGUCAUAGAGGGUGAGAAUCCCGUCUGAUGAGAUGCCCAUUCCUAUGUAAGGUGCUAUCGAAGAGUCGAGUUGUUUGGGAAUGCAGCUCUAAGUGGGUGGUAAAUUCCAUCUAAAGCUAAAUAUUGGCGAGAGACCGAUAGCGAACAAGUACAGUGAUGGAAAGAUGAAAAGAACUUUGAAAAGAGAGUGAAAAAGUACGUGAAAUUGUUGAAAGGGAAGGGCAUUAGAUCAGACUUGGUGUUUUACGAUUAUCUUCUCUUCUUGAGUUGUGCACUCGUAUUUCACUGGGCCAGCAUCGAUUCGGAUGGCAAGAUAAUGGCAGUUGAAUGUGGCUUCACUUCGGUGGAGUGUUAUAGCUUCUGCUGAUAUUGCCUGUCUGGAUCGAGGGCUGCGUCUUUUGACUAGGAUGCUGGCGUAAUGAUCUAAUGCCGCCCGUCUUGA